GAUGAACGCUGGCGGCGUGCCUCAAACAUGCAAGUCGAGCGGGGCUAUGUAAUAUCGCAAGGUAGAACAUAGCCUAGCGGCGAACGGGUGAGUAACACGUGGGUAACCUGCCUGGAAGACAGGGAUAACGAUUCGAAAGGGUCGCUAAUACCUGAUAAUAUCCUUUCAUCGCAUGGUGAUAGGAAGAAAGGGGAAACCCGCUUUCAGAUGGGCCCGCGUCCCAUCAGCUAGUUGGUAAGGUAAAGGCUUACCAAGGCGACGACGGGUAGCCGGUCUGAGAGGAUGUACGGCCACACUGGGACUGAGAUACGGCCCAGACUCCUACGGGAGGCAGCAGUUGGGAAUCUUAGGCAAUGGACGAAAGUCUGACCUAGCGACGCCGCGUGAGGGAAGAAGGCCUUCGGGUUGUAAACCUCUGUCAUGGGGAAGAAGUAAGUGAGGUACCCCAAGAGGAAGCCCCUGCUAACUACGUG
This 473-nucleotide ribosomal RNA is filed under the name uncultured bacterium. Its description in RNAcentral is "bacterial SSU rRNA". It matches the Rfam family "Bacterial small subunit ribosomal RNA", at positions 28 to 507 of the family's 1533-position model. The record is from RNAcentral.